GAUGAAGAACGCAGCGAAAUGGGAUAAGUAAUGUGAAUUGCAGAAUUCAGUGAAUCAUCGAAUCUUUGAACGCACAUUGCGCCCAUUAGUAUUCUAGUGGGCAUGCCUGUUCGAGCGUCAUUUCAACCAUCAAGCCCUAUUUGCUUGGCGUUGGGAGACUUGUAGGUCUGGCCUGCAAGCUCCUGAAAUAGAUCGGCGGAGUCGUGGCGACCCUCAGCGUAGUAAUUCUUCUCGCUUUAGGUGUCGGCGCUGGCGUUUAGCCGUUAAACCCCCUAUUUCUUUUAGUCUUGACCUCGGAUCAGGGAGGAAUACCCGCUGAACUUAAGCAUAUCAAUAAGCGGAGGA
This 345-nucleotide unclassified non-coding RNA is filed under the name soil metagenome. Its description in RNAcentral is "partial contains 5.8S ribosomal RNA, internal transcribed spacer 2, and large subunit ribosomal RNA". The stretch from base 1 to 120 matches the Rfam family "5.8S ribosomal RNA", at positions 35 to 154 of the family's 154-position model. The record is from RNAcentral.